UACGUAGGGCGCAAGCGUUGUCCGGAAUUAUUGGGCGUAAAGCGUGCGUAGGCGGCUGCGCAAGUCGGGUGUGAAACCCCGGGGCUCAACCCCGGAACUGCAUCCGAUACUGCGUGGCUAGAGGUAGGUAGGGGAGAUCGGAAUUCCUGGUGUAGCGGUGAAAUGCGCAGAUAUCAGGAGGAACACCGGUGGCGAAGGCGGAUCUCUGGGCCUUACCUGACGCUCAGGCACGAAAGCUAGGGGAGCGAACAGG
RNAcentral lists this ribosomal RNA (253 nucleotides) under uncultured bacterium. RNAcentral's name for it is "partial 16S ribosomal RNA". It matches the Rfam family "Bacterial small subunit ribosomal RNA", at positions 524 to 776 of the family's 1533-position model. The record is from RNAcentral.